Molecule: ribosomal RNA, 305 nt
Filed under: uncultured bacterium
Lineage: Bacteria
Description: partial 16S ribosomal RNA
Rfam family: Bacterial small subunit ribosomal RNA
Source: RNAcentral
ACAGCAGCAGCCGCGGGAAAACGGAGGGUGCAAGCGUUAAUCGGAAUUACUGGGCGUAAAGCGCACGCAGGCGGUCUGACAAGUCAGAUGUGAAAUCCCCGGGCUUAACCUGGGAACUGCAUUUGAAACUGUCAGGCUGGAGUCUUGUAGAGGGGGGUAGAAUUCCAGGUGUAGCGGUGAAAUGCGUAGAGAUCUGGAGGAAUACCGGUGGCGAAGGCGGCCCCCUGGACAAAGACUGACGCUCAGGUGCGAAAGCGUGGGGAGCAAACAGGAUUAGAUACCCGCGUAGUCCCUGUCUCUUAUAU